GCCUGGUUUGAACUCAUGGCCUGGUGCUGGUGAUCCAGAGUGGAUGAGAUACACUCAGGCCUUGCCGUGGGUCACUCUUGUCCCCCUGGCAUCCCUGGGAGGGGCCGCCCUCCCGGGACGAUUUCUCGGAGGUCCUAACCCAGGUUCAUGAGGGCUUCGAGCUGGGCACGCUGGCCGGCCCCGCCUUUGCCUGGCUGCGCGGCUCCCUGGGCCUGGCGGAGGAGGACUAUCAGGCUGCGCUGGGCCCCGGCGGCCCCUACCUGCAGUUCCUCAGCACCUCCAAGAGCAAGGCCAGCUUCUUCCUGUCCCACGACCAGCGCUUCUUCCUGAAGACCCAGGGGCGCCGAGAGGUGCAGGCUCUGCUCGCCCACCUGCCCCGCUACGUGCAGCACCUGCAGCGGCACCCGCACUCGCUGCUGGCGCGGUUGCUGGGAGUGCACAGUCUGCGGGUGGACCGGGGAAAGAAGGUGGGUGAAGCCGAGGCGAGGUGGCUGGGCGGAGCGGGCGGCUGGAGGGCGACAGCCGGCCUCCCUCACUCCCUGUCCCGGCCCCCAGACGUACUUCAUCGUCAUGCAGAGCGUCUUCUACCCCGCCGGCCGCAUCUCCGAGAGGGCCCCAGCGGAGCUGGUUCCUCCGCCAGAUGGAACUGGAUACCACCUUCCUUCGGGAGCUCAACGUGCUGGAUUACAGCCUCCUGAUAGCCUUCCAACGUCUCCACGAGGAUGAGAGGGGCCCGG
Molecule: small RNA, 737 nt
Filed under: Pan troglodytes (chimpanzee)
Lineage: Eukaryota; Metazoa; Chordata; Mammalia; Primates; Hominidae
Description: processed transcript
Source: RNAcentral